RNAcentral lists this ribosomal RNA (498 nucleotides) under uncultured bacterium. RNAcentral describes it as "partial 16S ribosomal RNA". It matches the Rfam family "Bacterial small subunit ribosomal RNA", at positions 29 to 523 of the family's 1533-position model. The record is from RNAcentral.
AUUGAACGCUGGCGGCAUGCCUUACACAUGCAAGUCGAACGGUAACGCGGGGCAACCUGGCGACGAGUGGCGAACGGGUGAGUAAUGCAUCGGAACGUGCCCAGUAGUGGGGGAUAGCCCGGCGAAAGCCGGAUUAAUACCGCAUACGACCUACGGGUGAAAGCGGGGGACCGUAAGGCCUCGCGCUAUUGGAGCGGCCGAUGUCAGAUUAGGUUGUUGGUGGGGUAAAGGCCUACCAAGCCGACGACCUGUAGCUGGUCUGAGAGGACGACCAGCCACACUGGGACUGAGACACGGCCCAGACUCCUACGGGAGGCAGCAGUGGGGAAUUUUGGACAAUGGGGGCAACCCUGAUCCAGCCAUGCCGCGUGCGGGAAGAAGGCCUUCGGGUUGUAAACCGCUUUUGUCAGGGAAGAAACGCUCUGGGCUAAUACCCUGGGGUAAUGACGGUACCUGAAGAAUAAGCACCGGCUAACUACGUGCCAGCAGCCGCGGUAA